Non-coding RNA from Acanthosepion pharaonis, 108 nucleotides. NCBI's taxonomy places the organism in Eukaryota, Metazoa, Mollusca, Cephalopoda, Sepiida, Sepiidae. The record is from the annotation of a GenBank genome assembly.
CGGCUAUAUAACGUUAAAACACAGGUUACCGUAUGAUCACCGAAGUUAAGCAAUCUCGAGCCUGCUCAGUACGUAGAUGGGUGACCACUUCGGAAUACCUGUAACUGU